GUGGGGAAUAUUGGACAAUGGGCGCAAGCCUGAUCCAGCCAUGCCGCGUGAGUGAUGAAGGCCUUAGGGUUGUAAAGCUCUUUUGUCCGGGAAGAUAAUGACUGUACCGGAAGAAUAAGCCCCGGCUAACUUCGUGUCAGCAGCCGCGGUAAUACGAAGGGGGCUAGCGUUGCUCGGAAUCACUGGGCGUAAAGGGCGCGUAGGCGGACUCUUAAGUCGGGGGUGAAAGCCCAGGGCUCAACCCUGGAAUAGCCUUCGAUACUGAGAGUCUUGAGUUCGGAAGAGGUUGGUGGAAUUGCGAGUGUAGAGGUGAAAUUCGUAGAUAUUCGCAAGAACACCAGUGGCGAAGGCGGCCAACUGGUCCGAUACUGACGCUGAGGCGCGAAAGCGUGGGGAGCAAACAGGAUUAGAUACCCUGGUAGUCC
Molecule: ribosomal RNA, 425 nt
Filed under: uncultured bacterium
Lineage: Bacteria
Description: partial 16S ribosomal RNA
Rfam family: Bacterial small subunit ribosomal RNA
Source: RNAcentral